UUCUGUUGAGAGCGACCGGUCCAUACCAUGUAUGCGUNUCUGGCUUGCUCUCGGCAUNCUCUCGAUAGACGUUGCUGCGCUUGAUUGCGCGGCGCGGAUCUCGGGACUUUUACUNUGAGGAAANUAGAGUGUUCACGGCAGGCUUUCGCCAGAAUACAUUANCAUGGAAUAAUACUAUNGGAUCUUGGNUCUAUUUUGGUGGUNUNUAGAAUUGAGAUAAUGAUUAAUAGGGACAAUNGGGGGCAUUCGUAUCAACACGUCAGAGGNGGAAUUCUUGGAUUGUGUUGCGACGAACUACUGCAGAAAGCAUUUGCCAAGGAUGUUUUCAUUGAUCAAGAACGAAAGUAAGGGGANCGAAGACGAUUAGAUACCGUCGUANUCUUUACCAUAAACCUAUGCCGACUANAGAUGGGGCAUCGUCCAUUUACGACUUGCUCCGCACCUUAUGAGAUAUCAAAGNUCUUGGGNUCCGGGGGGAGU
RNAcentral lists this ribosomal RNA (480 nucleotides) under uncultured marine picoplankton. RNAcentral's name for it is "18S ribosomal RNA". It matches the Rfam family "Eukaryotic small subunit ribosomal RNA", at positions 643 to 1124 of the family's 1831-position model. The record is from RNAcentral.